This 381-nucleotide ribosomal RNA is filed under the name uncultured eukaryote. Its description in RNAcentral is "SSU rRNA". It matches the Rfam family "Eukaryotic small subunit ribosomal RNA", at positions 587 to 972 of the family's 1831-position model. The record is from RNAcentral.
AGCUCCAAUAGCGUAUAUUAAAGUUGUUGCGGUAAAAAGCUCGUAGUUGGAUUUCUGCCGAGAAGUGCCGGUCCGUACUAUGUACGUGUAUCUGGUUUGCGUCUUGGCAUCCUCUCGAGGGGCGUUACUGCGCUUCAUUGCGUGGUGCGUGACUCGAGACUUUUACUUUGAGGAAAUUAGAGUGUUCACGGCAGGCAAUCGCCCUGAAUAUAUUAGCAUGGAAUAAUGAUAUAGGACCUUGGGUCUAUUUUGUUGGUUUCUAGAGCUGAGGUAAUGAUUAAUAGGGAUAAUUGGGGGCAUCCGUAUCAAGGCGUCAGAGGUGGAAUUCUUGGAUUGCCUUGCGACGAACAACUGCGAAAGCAUUUGCCAAGGAUGUUUUCA